Dioscorea cayenensis subsp. rotundata (Guinea yam) is the source of this 375-nucleotide long non-coding RNA. RefSeq lists it as uncharacterized. The transcript has 2 exons. The record is from RefSeq and is a predicted model, not a curated record. Lineage: Eukaryota; Viridiplantae; Streptophyta; Magnoliopsida; Dioscoreales; Dioscoreaceae.
GUCAACCUGGUUAGCUUUGUCCCUAUGUCCUUUUGCCUUCUUUCAAACUUCAUUUCAUUCUUUCAAACUUGCUUUUCUUUCCCUUUUCUCUUUAACAGCUUGUGAGCUCUCAUCCUUGCGUUCAUCUUUCACCAUGCUUGCCCUCUCCAAUGGUUGACCGGUUGCCAUGCCAAGGGCCAUGCUGAUCCAUGCCAUCAUCUGGGGUUUGGAGCUUUAAAAGGAUGGCUAAGCUUUCUUCUAAGCAAAUUAGGAGGAAGUUCUAGCAGUAGCUUAGCAAGCUAUGAAGUAUGAAGUUCCCUAGUGUAGUUGACUUGUUAAUUAUGUCUUGUUGUAGGCCUUGAAUAUUGCAUAUUGAACUUAAUUGUUUUUUUGUUA